GAUGAGAAGAAGGAACCAGAGAAGUAGAAGAAGGCGUACUGCUGCUUCUAACCCAACAACGCAGCAAGAAGGAAAAGUUUAAUCUAAAGAAUUUAUAAGUUACCAGUGAUUGUAAGCAGUGGUGGUGUUUGCCUAGCAUCAUGGAGUAAAGGCUCAAACUCCAGGAAUUCCAGCUUUGGAUGCAGGUACUGUGCGCAAGAAUGGGAACGAGCUGGAUCAAGCUGGGUU
Molecule: long non-coding RNA, 228 nt
Organism: Rosa chinensis
Lineage: Eukaryota; Viridiplantae; Streptophyta; Magnoliopsida; Rosales; Rosaceae
Exons: 3
Source: RefSeq, a predicted model, not a curated record